UUUCCGUAGGUGAACCUGCGGAAGGAUCAUUAAAGAGUAAGGGUCUUCGGGCCCGAUCUCCAACCCUUUGUUUAACUACCAUGUUGCUUUGGCGGGCCCGUCUCACGACCGCCGGAAGUUUGGCUUCGACCAAACUUCUGGCCCGUGCCCGUCAGUGGCCCCUUCAAAUUCUUGAUCAAGUAUGAUGUCUUAGUUAAAAACUUAAUAGUUAAAACUUUCAACAACGGAUCUCUUGGUUCUG
RNAcentral lists this unclassified non-coding RNA (241 nucleotides) under plant metagenome. Its description in RNAcentral is "partial contains small subunit ribosomal RNA, internal transcribed spacer 1, and 5.8S ribosomal RNA". The record is from RNAcentral.